Long non-coding RNA from Empidonax traillii (willow flycatcher), 128 nucleotides. RefSeq lists it as uncharacterized. The record is from RefSeq and is a predicted model, not a curated record. The transcript has 3 exons. NCBI's taxonomy places the organism in Eukaryota, Metazoa, Chordata, Aves, Passeriformes, Tyrannidae.
GAGCUUUUUAAGGUGAAACUGGAUGUGGCACUUAAUGCCCUGGUCUAGUAACCACCAUUGUGUUGGAUCAAGGGUUGGAUUUGAUGAUCUCAGAGGUCUUUUCCAAUCUGGCUGACUCUAUGAUUUUA